AGUCGACGGUAACAGGACUUCGGUCGCUGACGAGUGGCGCACGGGUGAGUAACGCGUGGGUUACCUGCCCAUAAGUGGGGAACAACUUGGAGAAAUCCAAGCUAAUACCGCAUAAUACCUUCGGGUUAAAGAGGGGGAUCUUCGGACCUCUCGCUUAUGGAUGGUCCCGCGUCUGAUUAGCUAGUUGGUAGGGUAAUGGCCUACCAAGGCAAUGAUCAGUAGCUGGUCUGAGAGGAUGAUCAGUCACACUGGAACUGAGACACGGUCCAGACUCCUACGGGAGGCAGCAGUGGGGAAUUUUGCACAAUGGGCGAAAGCCUGAUGCAGCGACGCCGCGUGCGGGAAGAAGGCCUUCGGGUUGUAAACCGCUUUCAACAGGGAAGAAGGAAUGAGAGCUAAUACCUCUCUGCCUUGACGGUACCUGUAGAAGAAGCACCGGCUAAUUUCGUGCCAGCAGCCGCGGUAAUACGAAAGGUGCAAGCGUUGUUCGGAUUUACUGGGCGUAAAGAGAUCGUAGGUGGCUUGUUAAGUCGGAUGUGAAAUCCCGGGGCUCAACCCCGGAACUGCAUCCGAUACUGGCAGGCUUGAGUUUGGGAGGGGUAAGCGGAAUUCCGUGUGUAGCAGUGAAAUGCGUAGAUAUACGGAGGAACACCUGAGGCGAAGGCGGCUUACUGGACCAAUACUGACACUGAGGAUCGAAAGCGUGGGUAGCAAACAGGAUUAGAUACCCUGGUAGUCCACGCCCUAAACGAUGUCAACUAGCCGUUGCGGGUAUCGACCCCUGCAGUGGCGCAGCUAACGCGAUAAGUUGACCGCCUGGGGGAGUACGGUCGCAGAUUAAAACUCAAA
Molecule: ribosomal RNA, 849 nt
Filed under: uncultured bacterium
Lineage: Bacteria
Description: bacterial SSU rRNA
Rfam family: Bacterial small subunit ribosomal RNA
Source: RNAcentral